UAGGGAAUCUUGCACAAUGGGCGAAAGCCUGAUGCAGCAACGCCGCGUGAAGGAUGAAGGCCUUCGGGUUGUAAACUUCUGUUCUAAGGGAAGAAACAAAUGACGGUACCUUAGGAGCAAGCCCCGGCUAACUACGUGCCAGCAGCCGCGGUAAUACGUAGGGGGCAAGCGUUAUCCGGAAUUAUUGGGCGUAAAGAGUGCGUAGGUGGUUACCUAAGCGCAAGGUUUAAUUUAGAGGCUCAACCUCUACUUGCCUUGCGAACUGGGCUACUUGAGUGCAGGAGGGGAAAGCGGAAUUCCUAGUGUAGCGGUGAAAUGCGUAGAUAUUAGGAGGAACACCAGCGGCGAAGGCGGCUUUCUGGACUGUAACUGACACUGAGGCACGAAAGCGUGGGUAGCAAACAGGAUUAGAUACCCUGGUAGUCCACGCCGUAAACGAUGAGCACUAGGUGUUGGGCCCGUUAGGGCUCAGUGCCGCAGUUAACGCAAUAAGUGCUCCGCCUGGGGAGUACGCUCGCAAGAGUA
Molecule: ribosomal RNA, 525 nt
Filed under: uncultured bacterium
Lineage: Bacteria
Description: bacterial SSU rRNA
Rfam family: Bacterial small subunit ribosomal RNA
Source: RNAcentral